Molecule: long non-coding RNA, 281 nt
Filed under: Carica papaya (papaya)
Lineage: Eukaryota; Viridiplantae; Streptophyta; Magnoliopsida; Brassicales; Caricaceae
Description: long non-coding RNA (CPAP_LNC009501)
Source: RNAcentral
AGAGAUAUUUUAAAGCUAUCACAUGGAAUCCUGAUCGUUUGAUUGGAUUCGACGAGAAACCAUCCUAGCGGUUAAAUCGCACUCUGCGCGAGGGAGAAUCUCUAUCACAACACACAAAAACCGUUAGAUUGUAAUCUGCAUGAGAUAGCCUCCUAAUCAUCGGAUCAGCAAACCCAUACGAUCAUGGUCGUCCAUCAAUAGCACAAUAAGGACGGGCCAUGGCUUUUGGAUUGGCUUGGGCAGGAAAUGCCCAGAGCGUAUGUGCAGAUCGCCACAUACAC